RNAcentral lists this ribosomal RNA (247 nucleotides) under uncultured bacterium. RNAcentral describes it as "partial 16S ribosomal RNA". It matches the Rfam family "Bacterial small subunit ribosomal RNA", at positions 1254 to 1500 of the family's 1533-position model. The record is from RNAcentral.
GCCGCGAGGUGGAGCAAAUCUCAAAAAGACCGUCCCAGUUCGGAUCGCAGGCUGCAACCCGCCUGCGUGAAGUUGGAAUCGCUAGUAAUCGCGGAUCAGCAUGCCGCGGUGAAUACGUUCCCGGGCCUUGUACACACCGCCCGUCACACCAUGAGAGUCGGGAACACCCGAAGUCCGUAGCCUAACCGCAAGGGGGGCGCGGCCGAAGGUGGGUUCGAUAAUUGGGGUGAAGUCGUAACAAGGUAAC